Molecule: ribosomal RNA, 183 nt
Filed under: uncultured bacterium
Lineage: Bacteria
Description: partial 16S ribosomal RNA
Rfam family: Bacterial small subunit ribosomal RNA
Source: RNAcentral
UACGGAGGGGGUUAGCGUUGUUCGGAAUUACUGGGCGUAAAGCGUACGUAGGCGGAUCAGAAAGUUGGGGGUGAAAUCCCGGGCUCAACCCCGGAACUGCCUCCAAAACUCUGGUCUUGAGUUCGAGAGAGGUGAGUGGAAUUCCAAGUGUAGAGGUGAAAUUCGUAGAUAUUGGAGGAAACA